GAUGAAGAACGUAGCGAAAUGCGAUACUUGGUGUGAAUUGCAGAAUCCCGUGAACCAUCGAGUCUUUGAACGCAAGUUGCGCCUCAAGCCAUUAGGUUGAGGGCACGUCUGCCUGGGCGUCACAUAUCGUUGCCUGAUGCCAGUUUCCUCGUGAUGGGUGACUGUGCAGGGCGAAUGAUGGCUUCCCGUGAGCAUUGUUGCCUCAUGGUUGGUUGAAAAUUGAGUCCUUGGUAGGGAGCGCCGUGAUAGAUGGUGGUUGAGUGACGAACGAGACCCAAUCAUGUGAGACCCCUACCGAAUUUCGCCUUCAUGACCCACAUGCGUCUUUGGAACGCUCAUGACGAGACCUCAGGUCAGGCGGGGCUACCCGCUGAGUUUAAGCAUAUCAAUAAGCGGAGGA
This 400-nucleotide unclassified non-coding RNA is filed under the name soil metagenome. RNAcentral describes it as "partial contains 5.8S ribosomal RNA, internal transcribed spacer 2, and large subunit ribosomal RNA". The stretch from base 1 to 122 matches the Rfam family "5.8S ribosomal RNA", at positions 35 to 154 of the family's 154-position model. The record is from RNAcentral.